RNAcentral lists this transfer RNA (59 nucleotides) under Sphaerotilus natans. RNAcentral's name for it is "tRNA_Val_GAC". It matches the Rfam family "tRNA", at positions 8 to 63 of the family's 71-position model. From Rfam's summary of the family: Transfer RNA (tRNA) molecules are approximately 80 nucleotides in length. The record is from RNAcentral. Lineage: Bacteria; Pseudomonadati; Pseudomonadota; Betaproteobacteria; Burkholderiales; Sphaerotilaceae.
UAGCUCAGUUGGUUAGAGCACCACCUUGACAUGGUGGGGGUCGUUGGUUCGAAUCCAAU